RNAcentral lists this long non-coding RNA (717 nucleotides) under Physcomitrium patens. RNAcentral describes it as "long non-coding RNA (PPAT_LNC000242)". Lineage: Eukaryota; Viridiplantae; Streptophyta; Bryopsida; Funariales; Funariaceae. The record is from RNAcentral.
UCUCAAAUUUAAUUUCUCAAAAACUUCAUUCAAAAUACAUGUAGUUCAUUGAUAAAAGUUAGGCAUGUUAAUCUCUCCUUACAUUUGCUCCCAUUCUCAUUCUUUUUGAAUCACACAACCAAAGCUUGACCAUCUUUAGGACCUUGUACAGAGCUCUAAAUUAAUAAUCUGUUUAUCUAUUUGCAUUCAAUUACAAAACUGCAAAAUCUUUCCACUUUCCCUCAGUUAUUAGAAAAGGAUUUCAACCUUCAUAAUCCAACAGGGCCCAACAUUAUCAUCUUGAAUCAUUGGAUCCUGAAUGCAAGCUUCAUUCAUUCUGGAAUGCAAACCCUAAACCUGGAGCCACUUUCACACUAGAAAUAGGUACUCAAUUGAGAUCUGUACAAGUAAAAGUGUAUCACAAUUCUUUCCCCAUGCCCAAGGUCAUCCUUUGGGAUGCCUACUUCCAAAUCCUCACUUUUCACCCUUUUGCUUUUGAUAUUUGUUUUGGAAAGCAUGGACAAAACCCUAAUUUUGAUGGUCAGAGAUUUCAUAUGUUGUUCUCACAGACAAUGAACUUCCAACAAAUGAGAUCAUCUGCAAGUGCUUGCAAGUAAGCUGUCAUGUUGGGUAACCAUCCCCUUGAUUUCCAAACAAAUUUUUAUAGUGAGUAUUCCUUGUCCCACUUAUUUGAGUAAUAACAAUCAACUUGAGUAAAACAAAUAAUAAAACACUCUA